Molecule: long non-coding RNA, 3194 nt
Organism: Gasterosteus aculeatus aculeatus (three-spined stickleback)
Lineage: Eukaryota; Metazoa; Chordata; Actinopteri; Perciformes; Gasterosteidae
Source: Ensembl
CUUUGAGGAAGCCACCCUCUUAACUGCUCUCUCGUUACUCUUGCUUCAUACCGUUUCUCCCUACAAGAGAGGAACUGCAUCUCCCCACUCCUCCCCCCCCCCCCCUCCCCAGCCAGCUCCUCCUCAGCCGAGCUGUGUUUUUUAUUAUCUAACAUGCUCCCUUUCCUUCUUGCUCUCUCUAAAGGUGGUGGUCAGCAUCCCCUGGAGGUGAAGCGCUGUGACCCGUAACUCACCGCCGCCUGGAGCCACACGGAUCGUCUGGACUUCACUCCCCCACCUCCAGCUUCUGUCCAACCGCCCUCUGAAGACGUCGACAAUGUGACAGCUGGACCCUUUCAGAAGCAUGUGACCUGCCGUUAUUAUGGAUCGGAAAAUCAGCAUACAUUGAAUCUACACUCAUCCAGCGUCACUGGAGGGUUUUAUAGUCAGAGCAGACGGGUUUGCUCUUUCCCUGCAGAGCGGGCAGUUCACUCAUCCCUUCUGGUCUCUUUUCCUCGCCUCAGAAUCAAGGGGCUUUUUGUUCUCCCGGCAGCAGCGCUCAUCACCUCUUCCACCGCCGCUGCCCUUCCCGUCGUUUUCUCGGGGAACGGAGGGAUAUUUUGAGGGAUGGAGCUUGUCGGUUCUGCGCGCAUCCUGAAAGACUGUCGUUAUUUCGGUCUCCUCUCGGUCUGAAAAUGGGGCUUGAGACCCCCCCCUCCCCCUUCUCGAUCUCCCUGUGCUGGAGAUCUGUUUAACCCCAGUAUCUUAUCACUUAGGAAAAAUAAAUCUCAGGGCAGCAGAGAAGCUUUGUGGAUUGUCUUCAUUACAGGCUCUGACGCCGCGUUUCAUUCAGAUUCAUUUGAGUGAAAUAGGUUUCUUCAUCCCGCAGGAUUUCUCUAUUUCUACGCUUGAAUAAAAUGACAUUUAAAAUCAGCAUACAUUCUCAGGGGAAGCAGUGUGGUUGGUUGUGAUUCUUUCUACAUUCUCUGAGUCAGCUGUUGUUAUUUAGCAUAGAACUCUCAAGUCGGUUUAAUCCUUUUUACUCACCAUUAGGAUGGAUUUAUGGUCAGUUAAAGGAGGGGAUUCCUCCAUAAUGUGACCACCGGUCAUCGUCUUGUUUAUUGUUUCCAUUGUAAGUGUAUAACCAGGAAGGAUGUGGUUCCUGAAUGGCUUAUGUUUCUGAAUUGAAGGAACCACAUAGUAUAAUCAAACCCCUACAUAGAAUGUUAUGAAGCAUAAGGAGUCCUGAUAUAAAUGUACUUUAAAGUGAAAUGACUGCGUGUUUAUUGACUGAUUGUGAUGAUAACAUGGCGUUCAUCACUAGAGAGCGGAGAGAGUGAACCUUUAACCGAGAUGAUUGCUUUUUAAAAUAAAGCUUUUUUAGUUUUUUUCUUGCGUCCUUUCCGUAAUCAACUUACAUACUCCAAAUUUCUAGGUAUCUAGGAAACACCCGCCUUGACAAAUACAAGAGAAAAAUGCAGAUUCAACACAUACUCAUAGACCAACCAAAAGGCCCCUUGUCUCAUUGUCAAUAAGCUAAUAACUCAUUAGUCCCCCACCGCAAAGCAUUGACUUUCCCAUACAUCACCACACUGACACACAAUCCCUCCUUCUUCGUCUCUCGCACUAGUACCUGGUCGCCGUGCCGGUAACCUCAGAACCUCAGAGGUGAUAAUGACAAGUGUCACUGCGGCGGCGCCGUCCUUUCCAGUCCAGCUGCCGCGCGGUGCACCGCGGCUACCGGCCGCUCUGGUUCCAGGCCAUAAUUGCUCUGCGUCUGUAUAAUUGACAGAUGGGAAGAGGGGGAGGGAGCGGGGGGGUUAAAUCCAAUGGCCGUCAAGGUGGGAGAAAGAUGGAUGCCUCGGUUUUUCAAUGCCGUCAGGUCUGGAGGUGUGAGGGGGUGUGGAGGACAUAAUGAGACGCUCUGCCUCCCCCCCUGCACACAUGAUGGACUACUAGUGGAAUGAUUUCUGGCACGGUGGCCCUCAAACAGGCCACGGCGCAUGUGUUUCCCGAGGAUCCCCUGCUGAAGCGUUGGUGGAUUUGGUGUGUGUGUGUGUGUGUGUGUGGAUUUCACGCCAAUUGGCCAGCCAAUACCAACUGUUGGUAGAUUUGGGAAGGAAACCUAUGCUUGUGCAGGCGUGUAUAGCUCGGCACGCAGACGGAAUGACACUGGAACGGGUCGACUAAGCCCGAGCUGAUGCGUGGCGUUGGUUUGUGUAGACGGUGGGCUGGAGUGAAUAUUUACUACCAAUCUCGGUUUUACAUUCCUCACCAGAACGUGAUAGAAGCCUAUAAACGCUUUGACCGCUAAAGACAUUAACUUAUACGUUGAAUGAGGAAAUGUUGCGGUGGGAAUGUUUAUAAGAGGAUUAUUAAUAAUCGCUUCUCAUCUGGCGCCAUGUUAUUUUUAACUAAUGGUGUAGCGGCUGAAACUACCCUACAGGGUUAGACACAGUGUGUCCGCGCCACCGUAUCCCAGUCAACAGGAUGUUUUAGCCUCAACCUGGCAACCAACCACAGCCACUGCAGUGGUUAAAGAAUGUUUUCUCCCUGAUUUUUUCUGUUCUUUUUUUUGUUUUUGUUUGUCACCCGCCAGUCUUUAUACACACACGCGUGCAUUUUCUCCUACGUUGAGUUCGGGUCUCCAUGACGAGUUUGUUCCCACAGAGGUGGAGGGCCGACACUGCAGAGCGGGCGCCUGCGGGUCUCCAAGGUCAUUACCACUGCUACAGCGUUCGGCCGCCCUGGGAAGGAGGCAGGAAUUGAUUAAUGGCAAAUGCUAGUACAAGAGCAGGAGGGGAGGAGCCGAGAUGCAAGGAAGCAACGCCGCAGAGUUGUUACUGUGAAAUGGAGCUAUAGAUAGCGCUAGUGUGAGAUGCUGCAGAGUGCGACACUAUGGCGACAAGUAUUUCUGAUAUUAAUAGUAAUAGUGUUCUCUAUGAAUCUAGGUAUGAUCUUUAGCAGGGGGAAUUGAGAUGAAGGAAGGAUUUUGAAGUGAUUAAUAGAUAUUCUAACUCAUUCUUAACUUAAAUGGUACCAAUUACUUCUUACAAACUGCAUGCUGAAAAUUGUAUUUUAUUAUUUAACAUAUUGAAUAUGAGCAAAAUAAAAUGCAAUGGUUUGUUUAAUGUCUUUAAUCUUUAACCUCGGCCACAAACCGCCUGUAAUGGAGUUCUAACACAGUUUUCAAUCAAUUGACACAUUGGCAUCAU